Molecule: ribosomal RNA, 920 nt
Filed under: uncultured bacterium
Lineage: Bacteria
Description: bacterial SSU rRNA
Rfam family: Bacterial small subunit ribosomal RNA
Source: RNAcentral
ACGCUGGCGGCGUGCUUAACACAUGCAAGUCGAACGAAAAGAGGGAAAGAGCUUGCUCUUUCCGGAAUUGAGUGGCAAACGGGUGAGUAACACGUAAACAACCUGCCUUCAGGAUGGGGACAACAGACGGGAACGACUGCUAAUACCGAAUAAGUUCCAAGAGCCGCAUGGCUCAUGGAAGAAAAGGUGGCCUCUACCUGUAAGCUAUCGCCUGAAGAGGGGUUUGCGUCUGAUUAGCUGGUUGGAGGGGUAACGGCCCACCAAGGCGACGAUCAGUAGCCGGUCUGAGAGGAUGAACGGCCACACUGGAACUGAGACACGGUCCAGACUCCUACGGGAGGCAGCAGUGGGGAAUCUUCCGCAAUGGGCGAAAGCCUGACGGAGCAACGCCGCGUGAGUGAUGACGGCCUUCGGGUUGUAAAACUCUGUGAUCCGGGACGAAAAGGCAGGGUGCGAAGAACAAACUGCAUUGACGGUACCGGAAAAGCAAGCCACGGCUAACUACGUGCCAGCAGCCGCGGUAAUACGUAGGUGGCAAGCGUUGUCCGGAAUUAUUGGGCGUAAAGCGCGCGCAGGCGGCUUCCCAAGUCCCUCUUAAAAGUGCGGGGCUUAACCCCGUGAUGGGAAGGAAACUGGGAAGCUGGAGUAUCGGAGAGGAAAGUGGAAUUCCUAGUGUAGCGGUGAAAUGCGUAGAGAUUAGGAAGAACACCGGUGGCGAAGGCGACUUUCUGGACGAAAACUGACGCUGAGGCGCGAAAGCGUGGGGAGCAAACAGGAUUAGAUACCCUGGUAGUCCACGCCGUAAACGAUGGAUACUAGGUGUAGGAGGUAUCGACCCCUCCUGUGCCGGAGUUAACGCAAUAAGUAUCCCGCCUGGGAAGUACGAUCGCAAGAUUAAAACUCAAAGGAAUUGACGGGGG